RNAcentral lists this ribosomal RNA (429 nucleotides) under Chloroflexota bacterium. RNAcentral describes it as "Chloroflexi bacterium partial 16S ribosomal RNA". It matches the Rfam family "Bacterial small subunit ribosomal RNA", at positions 355 to 776 of the family's 1533-position model. Lineage: Bacteria; Bacillati; Chloroflexota. The record is from RNAcentral.
UGGGGAAUAUUGCACAAUGGGCGCAAGCCUGAUGCAGCCAUGCCGCGUGUAUGAAGAAGGCCUUCGGGUUGUAAAGUACUUUCAGUCGGGAGGAAGGUGGUAAGGUUAAUAACCUUAUCAAUUGACGUUACCGACAGAAGACGCACCGGCUAACACCGUGCCAGCAGCCGCGGUAAUACGGAGGGUGCAAGCGUUAAUCGGAAUUACUGGGAGUAAAGCGCACGCAUGCGGUUGAUUGAGUCAGAUGUGAAAUCCCCGGGCUUAACCCGGGAAUUGCAUCUGAUACUGGUCAGCUAGAGUCUCGUAGAGGGGGGUAGAAUUCCAUGUGUAGCGGUGAAAUGCGUAGAGAUGUGGAGGAAUACCGGUGGCGAAGGCGGCCCCCUGGACAAAGACUGACGCUCAGGUGCGAAAGCGUGGGGAGCAAACAGG